Molecule: unclassified non-coding RNA, 3240 nt
Filed under: Cimex lectularius (bed bug)
Lineage: Eukaryota; Metazoa; Arthropoda; Insecta; Hemiptera; Cimicidae
Description: transient receptor potential-gamma protein, transcript variant X2
Source: RNAcentral
GACCGCUGGAGUUCAGUUCGUGAGCUCUUGGAUGGACCCGAUCGUCCAACUAUGAGGAAGCACCUCACAGGCUGUUUGCUCCCGCCGGAAUCAGAUGAAGACGGUUUAAAUGAUGAUGAUGACGUGGAAAGGGGGGACAUGCCUCCUCCUCCACCCCAGCCGCCCCCCAAACCUAAAGUCCCAAGCAACAUCAAGCGGCACAGCAUACACGGGAUGAUGGAAGAGGAGAACGUGAUAAGGCCUCACCAGGAGAUGGCGCAGCUCUCCCUAGAUGAAAAGAAGUUCCUGUUAGCUGUAGAACGGGGAGACGUCGCCUCGACCAGAAGGAUGCUGCAGAAGGCGAUGGAUACCAACUACAUAAACAUGAACUGCGUCGAUCCCCUGGGCAGAUCGGCGCUACUCAUGGCCAUAGACAACGAGAACCCCGAAAUGGUCGAGUUGCUCAUCGAGCACAGGGUCGAGACCAAGGACGCCCUCCUUCACGCCAUAUCGGAAGAGUUUGUCGAGGCGGUCGAAGCACUCCUGGAACACGAGGAAGCCAAAAAGAAGCCAGGUCAACCAGCUAGUUGGGAAGCCCUUCCUCCUGAUACGGCCACGUUCACCCCCGACAUCACACCCCUGAUCCUCGCCGCCCACAGGGAUAACUACGAGAUCAUAAAAAUCCUGCUGGAUAGGGGCGCAACCCUCCCCAUGCCGCACGACGUCAGAUGCGGAUGCGAAGAGUGCGUGACUUCCAGGCUCGAGGACUCCCUUAGGCAUUCCAGGUCCAGGAUCCACGCUUACCGCGCCCUCGCCAGCCCUUCUUUAAUCGCCCUUAGCUCAAAGGACCCGAUCCUCACUGCUUUCGAGCUCUCCUGGGAGCUCAGGAGGCUUUCCUUUAUGGAGCACGAGUUCAAGACUGAGUACCAGGAGCUGAGAAAGCAAUGCCAGGACUUUGCGACGGCUCUUCUCGACCAUACGAGGAGUUCUUACGAACUCGAAGUCCUCCUCAACCACGACCCGACUGGCCCAGCUUUCGAGCACGGGGAGAGGAUGCAUCUCAACAGGCUCAAACUAGCCAUCAAACUUAGACAAAAGAAGUUCGUAGCGCAUCCGAACGUGCAACAACUACUGGCCUCGAUAUGGUACGAAGGUCUCCCUGGCUUCAGGAGGCAAAACAUGGUCCUUCAAGCGCUCCAGAUCAUCCGGAUAGGCUCCAUGUUCCCUAUAUUCAGCAUAAUGUACAUCAUCGCGCCGCACUCUAAGCCGGGUCAGACGUUGAGGAAGCCUUUCAUCAAAUUCAUCUGUCAUUCUGCGUCUUACUUCACGUUUUUAUUUUUACUCAUAUUGGCAUCGCAAAGGAUCGAAACCCUUCUGGACUGGACUCAGGACACCCCGGCGAACCAUACAGCGCCAGAACUCACCCCGACGAAAAGAGGGUCGCUCCCGACCAUCAUCGAAUGGCUCAUACUUGGCUGGGUGGCAGGUCUGAUGUGGAGCGAAGUGAAACAACUUUGGGACGUCGGCCUGGAGGAUUACCUGGCGGAUAUGUGGAACGUCAUAGAUUUUAUCACCAACUCUCUCUACGUCGCAACGGUCGCCUUAAGGAUAGUGUCUUACUGCCAGGUUCAAAGGGACAUACUGCAAGGGAAUGCUACGGAUAUACCUAGAGAGAAUUGGGAUACUUGGGACCCGAUGUUGAUAUCCGAGGGUUUAUUUUCCGCUGCCAAUAUUUUUAGCUCUUUAAAGUUAGUUUAUAUAUUUUCCGUCAAUCCUUAUUUGGGACCUUUACAAGUCUCGCUGAGCCGCAUGGUGCUCGACAUAAUGAAAUUCUUCUUCCUCUACGUCCUCGUCCUGUUCGCAUUUUCUUGCGGUAUGAACCAGCUGCUUUGGUACUACGCGGACAUGGAGAAGCAGCGGUGUCCCAACGCGACCACCACGUACGAUGCCAAAAAUUCAACCGACCCCGACGCCUGUCUCGUCUGGCGAAGAUUCGCCAACCUGUUCGAGACGUCGCAGACGCUCUUUUGGGCUGUGUUCGGCUUGAUCGACUUGGACAACUUCGAAUUGGCCGGGAUUAAGACUUUCACCCGAUUCUGGGGGAUGCUCAUGUUCGGAACCUAUUCUGUGAUUAAUAUAGUAGUCCUAUUAAACUUGCUCAUCGCAAUGAUGAAUCAUUCCUACCAGCUAAUAUCCGAACGAGCCGACAUCGAGUGGAAAUUCGCUCGUAGCCGUCUGUGGAUCAGCUAUUUUGAAGAGGGUGGUACCGUACCGCCGCCUUUCAACGUACUGCCUUCACCGAAGAGCGUCUGGUACUUCCUGAUGUGGCUGCACAGGAGGUUCUGCGGGCAGAGCAGGGCGGCAAAAAAAGAGCACAUGAGGACAAUUAAGCGCAAGGCCAAACAGGCGAGCGAGCGAGACUUCCGCUAUCAAACGAUAAUGCGUAAUCUCGUGAGGAGGUACGUGACCGUGGAGCAGCGGAAGGCGGAAAACGAGGGCGUCACGGAAGACGACGUCAACGAGAUCAAGCAGGACAUAUCCGCAUUUAGGUGCGAGCUGAUCGAGAUCCUGAAGGAGUCCGGGAUGAACACGUCGACGGCGACCGGGACCGGCACGGGAGCAGGAGGAAAGAAAAACAGGCAGAAGGAAAGGAGGCUCAUGAAAGGCUUCAACAUCGCACCGCCGCCCAGCUCGUCGAAUUCGUCCAACCUACCGGUUGCCGAGUUCAUAGCCGCUCUCCAAAAAAGUUCUUCCAAUGAAAACUUAUCCAACGCCGGGCCUGGACGACUAGGCUAACGCUUUAAUAGCUGCUUGGCUAUCCGAACUUAUGAGGAUUUUUUUUUGCCAGCGGUAACCUCUUUUAAGACUUUCUAGAGCACAAGCAUUAAUGGCAGGUAUUUCUGCUUGAAAGACCGAUGUGUACUUCCCUGGUGAAUUGGAAUGCUCAUCUUUUGGGCUUGUACAGAAAACAGCCAUCCGGUUUCUUCGUUUGUUUCGGAGCCAUUGGAGACAGCUUUACAUUCUUUUAAUGAUAAGUCAUCUCCUCUGAGACGUCCUGUCCAACUAAUCAACGGAUUUGCCAGUCUUGGUGAGGGUUGGUUUAAGGAUGUGUAAGGUUCAGGCAGACAUUCCAAUAUCCCCAUAUCCAAACUGCCCAAUCCAUAAUCAUAAGAAAAAACCUUGAUGCUCCAUUUUAUAGUCCCAACAAAACACACCAUACAGACUGAGAUAUUUUUUUGUUCGCAGUGUAAUCCUCUUUCA